This 65-nucleotide transfer RNA is filed under the name Sciomyza simplex. RNAcentral's name for it is "tRNA-Ile". Lineage: Eukaryota; Metazoa; Arthropoda; Insecta; Diptera; Sciomyzidae. The record is from RNAcentral.
AAUGAAUUGCCUGAUUAAAGGGCUACUUUGAUAGAGUAGAUAAUGUAAUGCUAUUACAUUCAUUA